This 468-nucleotide ribosomal RNA is filed under the name uncultured bacterium. RNAcentral describes it as "partial 16S ribosomal RNA". It matches the Rfam family "Bacterial small subunit ribosomal RNA", at positions 28 to 507 of the family's 1533-position model. The record is from RNAcentral.
GAUGAACGCUGGCGGCGUGCUUAACACAUGCAAGUCGAACGGUGAAGGCGGAGCUUGCUCUGCUGGAUCAGUGGCGAACGGGUGAGUAACACGUGAGCAAUCUGCCCCUGAUUCUGGGAUAAGCGCUGGAAACGGCGUCUAAUACUGGAUACGAGCUGCGAAGGCAUCUUCAGCAGCUGGAAAGAAUUUCGGUCAGGGAUGAGCUCGCGGCCUAUCAGCUUGUUGGUGAGGUAAUGGCUCACCAAGGCGUCGACGGGUAGCCGGCCUGAGAGGGUGACCGGCCACACUGGGACUGAGACACGGCCCAGACUCCUACGGGAGGCAGCAGUGGGGAAUAUUGCACAAUGGGCGAAAGCCUGAUGCAGCAACGCCGCGUGAGGGACGACGGCCUUCGGGUUGUAAACCUCUUUUAGCAGGGAAGAAGCGAAAGUGACGGUACCUGCAGAAAAAGCGCCGGCUAACUACGUG